This 433-nucleotide ribosomal RNA is filed under the name uncultured bacterium. RNAcentral's name for it is "partial 16S ribosomal RNA". It matches the Rfam family "Bacterial small subunit ribosomal RNA", at positions 27 to 507 of the family's 1533-position model. The record is from RNAcentral.
GGGGGGGGGGGGGGGGGGGGGGGGGAGGGGCGGGGCGGACGGGGGCGGCGGGGCGAGUGGCGCGCGGGGGGGUAACGCGUGGGAACCUGCCCGGAGGUUCGGAAUAACGCCCCGGAAGGGGUGCUAAUACCGGAUAAUGUCUUCGGACCAAAGAUUUAUCGCCUUUGGAUGGGCCCGCGUUGGAUUAGCUAGUUGGUAGGGUAAAAGCCUACCAAGGCGACGAUCCAUAGCUGGUCUGAGAGGAUGAUCAGCCACACUGGGACUGAGACACGGCCCAGACUCCUACGGGAGGCAGCAGUGGGGAAUAUUGGACAAUGGGCGAAAGCCUGAUCCAGCAAUGCCGCGUGAGUGAUGAAGGCCUUAGGGUUGUAAAGCUCUUUUACCCGGGAUGAUAAUGACAGUACCGGGAGAAUAAGCUCCGGCUAACUCCGUG